AACAGGAUUAGAUACCCUGGUAGUCCACGCCGUAAACGAUGAGUGCUAGCUGUAGGGAGCUAUAAGUUCUCUGUAGCGCAGCUAACGCAUUAAGCACUCCGCCUGGGGAGUACGACCGCAAGGUUGAAACUCAAAGGAAUUGACGGGGGCCCGCACAAGCGGUGGAGCAUGUGGUUUAAUUCGAAGCAACGCGAAGAACCUUACCAGGUCUUGACAUACUCGUGCUAUCCUUAGAGAUAAGGAGUUCCUUCGGGACACGGGAUACAGGUGGUGCAUGGUUGUCGUCAGCUCGUGUCGUGAGAUGUUGGGUUAAGUCCCGCAACGAGCGCAACCCUUAUUACUAGUUGCCAUCAUUAAGUUGGGCACUCUAGUGAGACUGCCGGUGAUAAACCGGAGGAAGGUGGGGAUGACGUCAAAUCAUCAUGCCCCUUAUGACCUGGGCUACACACGUGCUACAAUGGAUGGUACAACGAGUCGCCAACCCGCGAGGGUGCGCUAAUCUCUUAAAACCAUUCUCAGUUCGGAUUGCAGGCUGCAACUCGCCUGCAUGAAGUCGGAAUCGCUAGUAAUCGCGGAUCAGCACGCCGCGGUGAAUACGUUCCCGGGCCUUGUACACACCGCCCGUCACACCACGGAAGUUGGGAGUACCCAAAGUAGGUUGCCUAACCGCAAGGAGGGCGCUUCCUAAGGUAAGACCGAUGACUGGGGUGAAGUCGUAACAAGGUAACC
This 729-nucleotide ribosomal RNA is filed under the name uncultured bacterium. RNAcentral describes it as "bacterial SSU rRNA". It matches the Rfam family "Bacterial small subunit ribosomal RNA", at positions 771 to 1501 of the family's 1533-position model. The record is from RNAcentral.